Molecule: long non-coding RNA, 1144 nt
Filed under: Triticum aestivum (bread wheat)
Lineage: Eukaryota; Viridiplantae; Streptophyta; Magnoliopsida; Poales; Poaceae
Description: long non-coding RNA (TAES_LNC003662)
Source: RNAcentral
AUGAUGAUGAGGAUGAAGAGCCGCUGAAGCACAGGAGGAGUCGAAAAGCGUCCGCCAGUAAGGUGCCUCAGGAUGUGUCAGCGCCUGAAAUUCUGACUGUGGAGGAAGAGAAUACCACUCGACACACGGUGACCUUCGCGACCCCACUGACGAGUGCUCAGCAGCCCUCCCUCUUCACGACUCACCACGUCCCGGAGGACCAAGCUGGUGCAGCGAAGGAGGCAAUACGCCAGGCAGGACUCAUGAUGGAGCAGCUGAAGACCAUCCGGGAUGCGAGCCAGGCAGCUUAUGACGCCAGCUCUGCCCUCCAAAGCAAUGUCCAGGUCAGUCGACUGCUGUUUGUUCUGUUGGAUAUGCUACCAAAAACUUUUCUUUUCCGGGAUUUAUAUUAGUCACCCACUGGGUGUGUCAAAUAAACUCCGUGUUAGCGGGGGCACGCUGAGUGCACCCGCUGGGUGUAGUCCCCAAGGCUAAGGUCGACUGCUGGCAGUCGGCCUUAGGCUUUAUAAUGUCAAUCUUUCUAUCAGUCGACUGGUCGACUGGAUUUCGCAAACCGGUGGGGGCACGCUGAGUGCACCCGCUGGGUGUAGUCCCCAAGGCUAAGGUCGACUGCUGGCAGUCGGCCUUAGGUUUUAUAAUGUCAAUCUUUCUAUCAGUCGACUGGUCGACUGGAUUUCGCAAAUCGGUGGGGGCACGCUGAGUGCACCCACUGGGUGUAGUCCCCAAGGCUAAGGUCGACUGCUGGCAGUCGGCCUUAGGCUUUAUGAUAUCAAUCUUUCUGUCAGUCGACUGGUCGACUGGGUUUCGCAAACCAGUGGGGGCACGCUGAGUGCACCCACUGGGUGUAGUCCCCGAGACUGUGGUCGACUGCUUGCAGUUGAUCACAGUCUUAGAGAAUGCGUCUCGCACACUGUUUUUUUUUUUUUGAGGUCGACUGGUCGACUUUGUCUUCGACAGGAUUAGUGGGGGCACGCUGAGUGCACCCACUGGGUGUAGUCCCCGAGACUACGGUCGAAUACUUGUAUUCGGCCGUAGUCUUAGAAACGUGUGUUUUUCCCUUUUUCACUCGGAAGUGAAUUAUUUUUGACGUUUAGUCGAUUGGUUCUUCGCAGAACUCCUGUGAUCUUGUGGCUCGCUACUCAGA